GCAUGCGUGGAGCAUCACCUACGAAGGGGACAAGGGGUUUCUGGAAAGGCAUUUAUUUCACACAAACCUUGCUUUUCAAAAGAUAUCCGCAAGUUCUGUAAGUUGGCAUAUCCUCUUGUACACUAUGCUCGCAUGUUUGGGUUGGCUGGUUGCUUUGCAAUAUGCUUGCAAAGUUCUUAUACCGGGAAUGACGACUACAUAUUAGAGUUCUUUUUGCCACUUGAUUGUAUUGACGAAGAUGACCAAAAUGCCUUACUGGAGUCUAUAUUAACUCUGAUGAAGCGGUGUUGGACAUGCGUGGAGGGCAGAUUCAUUAAGUUUGGGUUGAUUUCUUCCUUUGCUGUUCCAUCUGGAGGAGGCGUUGGAGAGGAGGCUGUGUAGGUGACUGAAACUUUACCAAAAACACGCAUAUGAUAUAUUGCAUUACUAUUUCUUGCAUUCUUCUUAGCCAGUUCAAGCUUUUGUUAAUAUAGUAUUCUUAUUUACUGAUGAUGCUUUUUCGGUGGUUUUAAGUGGGAAUUGCACAUGCUCAUGGUUUUGAUUGAUUUGGGGAGCAACAUCUUCAACAAAAGAAAUGAUGUGAUUAGUUCUGUUGACGAACAUGUUGUUUUGCGUUACUAUAAAGUAAAUGGUCAUAUGUGGAUGUCUUAAUUACAAUUGUUACUUCUUGUCAUGAUGCUACUGCUACUAAAUUAGGAUUGGUAUGGCUUGAGUUAUUUGCUUAGUAAUAGCCACAGAAACAUAUGGUCAACUAGAAUUAUUUGCUUAGCAUAGUUUAGUUCUUCAUUAGGGUCACUCUGCAUGCUUUUGAUCGGGGCACAAAACUGUUUAGUAAUGGGACAGGACAUCAUACAAUGAAUGACAUAGAAAGUAUUUAUGCAUAAAAUUGCUAUGCCUCUGUUUCUCGUUGUUUCUGGAUGGAAUUGUUUCAUGGUUUGCAGACCCUCAUAAAAUAUUUAUUUAUGAUUUAUGAAAUGAGGUCUAUCUUUUACUAUUUGUAAAUUCAGAUGCAAUUAGUUAUUAUCCUAUUACACUAAAAGUAUUUUGUUCUAAUUCUAAUGGUUGGAGCAGAGUUGGUAGAUUUUAAUCAUAAUAUAUCUUGUCGGAUCCCUUAUUUUCUAUUUGGCAUUCACUAACAGCUUUACGAGCUGUUUUUUUGUUCAACAUCCUUCUUCAAAACGGUUUAAUGGCUUCAUUGCUGGAGCUUCUUUUUUAUCCUCUCACAAAGGAAUGAGGAUCACAAAUGAAGAUGAGAGAGGUGAAGCUGAAAAAUGUAGCUUUGCAUAGCUCUAACUUAUUCCCCUCUGUCAUGUAUGAAGCUAUUGGUAAAGUUGUAUUGUCAAAUUUUUUUUCCAAAACUGAUCAGCUUCACUGAGAAAGCUGCUCAUGACGAAGCUUAAUUGUGUCAAAUGAGGCUUUAUUUGUAGUGAUUUAUUGUUAUUCCAAUUGUUUUCUUGAGGGUUGCCUGCUGCAUUGUUUGCUGAUCUCAAUUGUUAUUCCAUAAGCGAAUUGAAUGCAUUGAUGUCACUUAUCUUCCCUGAUUGACUGUGGCUGACUUCCUUUACGAUUCAAAUUUCAGAGCCUAGAUGUACCUAGAAUUGAUUGGACUGUCUGAUGCUCGCUUAGAUCACAAGGGGAGUGGCUUCAUUUUGUCAAAUGCUUGGCUUUGAUUGCUUGCUGAUGUGUGCUUGGUAGAGAGCAGAUAUUUUGGUGUACGUCGCUGAGGGAGAGGAACCCAAGGCCUGCACACGUCGAAAACCACCGAGCGCCUCGACCAACUCGACGACGACCUGCACAUAUUCUGCGUCAAGUUCGUCGACGGGGACCACCGCCUCUAGGUCCGUGCUGCUGCCGCCCAUUUCCUGCGUUCCUGCACUUUUGGUCCUGCUUGGAAGCUGGGAUUGGGAGGCAAAUCAUUAGCUAUGGCUAGUAGAACAGUCCCAAAGGCUGGGCAGGCCCUAUUGAACAAACAAUCAUCCGUAUGCUUUCUUCUCAUCUGGGGUGGACAUGUAACAGAGAAGACCUAAUCUGUAUUAUAUGUCAAUGUUCAGUAGUAUGUGUAAAUUGUGAUGUCGUACUUUGAUAAGUUCAAGUGAUUAUUUAGGACCUUCUUGUUGUAUCUGAACACUCCCAAAAGUAUGGCAUUUGGCAGCCAUCAUUCAUUA
Long non-coding RNA from Zea mays, 2165 nucleotides. RefSeq lists it as uncharacterized. The record is from RefSeq and is a predicted model, not a curated record. Lineage: Eukaryota; Viridiplantae; Streptophyta; Magnoliopsida; Poales; Poaceae. The transcript has 3 exons.